AUGGAGUGCUUGCACUCCUGAUGCUUAUCGGCGGACGGGUGAGUAAUACGUAGGUAACCUGCCCUUAAGACCGGGAUAACUCACGGAAACGUGGGCUAAUACCGGAUAGGCGAUUUCCUCGCAUGAGGGAAUCGGGAAAGGCGGAGCAAUCUGCCACUUAUGGAUGGACCUACGGCGCAUUAGCUAGUUGGUGGGGUAACGGCUCACCAAGGCGACGAUGCGUAGCCGACCUGAGAGGGUGAUCGGCCACACUGGGACUGAGACACGGCCCAGACUCCUACGGGAGGCAGCAGUAGGGAAUCUUCCGCAAUGGACGCAAGUCUGACGGAGCAACGCCGCGUGAGUGAUGAAGGUUUUCGGAUCGUAAAGCUCUGUUGCCAGGGAAGAACGCUAUGGAGAGUAACUGUUCCAUAGGUGACGGUACCUGAGAAGAAAGCCCCGGCUAACUACGUGCCAGCAGCCGCGGUAAUACGUAGGGGGCAAGCGUUGUCCGGAAUUAUUGGGCGUAAAGCGCGCGCAGGCGGUCAUGUAAGUCUGGUGUUUAAACCCGGGGCUCAACUCCGGGUCGCAUCGGAAACUGUGUGACUUGA
RNAcentral lists this ribosomal RNA (590 nucleotides) under Paenibacillus dendritiformis. RNAcentral's name for it is "bacterial SSU rRNA". It matches the Rfam family "Bacterial small subunit ribosomal RNA", at positions 71 to 645 of the family's 1533-position model. The record is from RNAcentral. Lineage: Bacteria; Bacillati; Bacillota; Bacilli; Caryophanales; Paenibacillaceae.